UGUUCAUGAGGCGUGUCAGAAUACGACUCUCCGAUUGGCUGCCCUUUAGAGCAUAUGACUCUGAACCAGCCGCUGCUGACAAUAUAAACAUUCGGAAUACAGCGACUUUACACGAUAAAGUUUCGAGGCGUUUUGAAACUUAGUCUCCGCUCAAAUUUUGGGUUAUUGUACUCGCUUUCCCCAGCAAGCAGCAGAGUUGGUGUGAAAACAGCAGCAGCAGCAGCUCAUCAGGCGGUAUCCAGUGCCAGACAAGAAGAACCUGCCAUUUGAUAUCGUGGAGCUGAUGGAGAAGGUUGAACAGAAGGGAGGGUUUUUGCCCAAUGUCUUCAAGGUUCUCGUCCAUUGUCCUGCUGAAUUUCGGACUUUCUUCUCUAAUUAUAAUGCCCUCGUGAACUAGGAAAGUGGUGGUCUGUCAAAAGCGGACCGGGAACUGAUUGUUGUUGCGACCAGUGCUCACAAUCACUGCUUGUAUUGCGUGGUAUCCCACAGUGCAUUGCACCGCAUCUAUUCCAAAAAACCCGUGCUGGCUGAUCAGGGUUGCGGAGCUGAGCGCACGUGAGAAGGCCAUGCUGGACUUUGCUCUGGCAGUCUGCUGGAGUGAAACUGUAACUGAAGAACAUCUCAGCACCCUGGAGGCUCAUGGUUUUGACCGAGAGGAUAUUUGGGACAUUGCUGCCUUCUUUGCUCUGUCCAACCGCAUGGCCCGUCUGACUGACUUGAGACCUAACGCAGAGUUUUACAACAUGGGGAGAGUGCCGAGAGACACAGAAAAAAGCCUCUGAUGGGCAGGUCAAGGACGAAUAGACUCGUAGUUCUAUUUUUUUAUAACACCAAAGCCUUCGAAACUGUCAAAUAUGAUAUAAAGAUGACUGUUAAAACACUGUUUUGCAAAAUAUCACCCAAAAUGUCAUUCUCUAACCCUUUCACAAAUGUUUUCACGUUUAGCUUUUAAGCUUCUUUGAUUCACACUGUUUUUGUGUUCGUCUUCACAAAGAGAAAUUCAUCCUUGUGGCCUUUUCGUUUACUUACAUUUGUUAGUCUGUGGUUAUUUAUUAUAAAGAGAGAGAUCUGAAUAUCACAAAUGCAUUCACAAAUCACUGUAACAUACAGCUGUGAGCAGGCUUAUAGUUAUCUAAAAACUAAAACCAUAAAACAUUUGAAUUAUUCGAA
Long non-coding RNA from Sinocyclocheilus grahami, 1170 nucleotides. RefSeq lists it as uncharacterized. Lineage: Eukaryota; Metazoa; Chordata; Actinopteri; Cypriniformes; Cyprinidae. The transcript is spliced from 5 exons. The record is from RefSeq and is a predicted model, not a curated record.